This 369-nucleotide ribosomal RNA is filed under the name uncultured Anaeromyxobacter sp. RNAcentral describes it as "bacterial SSU rRNA". It matches the Rfam family "Bacterial small subunit ribosomal RNA", at positions 95 to 449 of the family's 1533-position model. The record is from RNAcentral. Lineage: Bacteria; Pseudomonadati; Myxococcota; Myxococcia; Myxococcales; Anaeromyxobacteraceae.
GCGGCGCACGGGUGCGUAACACGUGGGUAAUCUGCCCUGGAGUCCGGAAUAACUCGCCGAAAGGCGUGCUAAUGCCGGAUAAGACCACGGGGGCUUCGGCCUCUGCGGAAAAAGGUGGCCUAUGUAUACAAGCUAUCUCUUCAGGAUGAGCCCGCGGCCCAUCAGCUAGUUGGCGAGGUAAAGGCCCACCAAGGCAACGACGGGUAGCUGGUCUGAGAGGACGAUCAGCCACACUGGAACUGAGACACGGUCCAGACUCCUACGGGAGGCAGCAGUGGGAAUCUUGCGCAAUGGGCGAAAGCCUGACGCAGCAACGCCGCGUGUGUGAUGAAGGUCUUCGGAUCGUAAAGCACUGUCGCGAGGGACGAA